Pundamilia nyererei is the source of this 272-nucleotide long non-coding RNA. RefSeq lists it as uncharacterized. The transcript is spliced from 2 exons. The record is from RefSeq and is a predicted model, not a curated record. NCBI's taxonomy places the organism in Eukaryota, Metazoa, Chordata, Actinopteri, Cichliformes, Cichlidae.
UCAUUGAUGUACCCACUGUAGACUGCAGAGAGAAAUAGCUUUCAUCAUGUUCAGACUUCAUAUGUGGUUCACUUUUCUCAUUAUUUUAAUGAACUGGGCUGGUACUGAAGGUCAAACACUGACUGAGUCUGAAUCAGUGGUUAAAAGGCCUGGAGACUCCCACAGACUGACCUGUACAUACUCAGGGUUCAGUAGCGGUUACUGGAACGCUUGGAUCAGACAGGCUGCUGGAAAAGGACUGGAAUGGGUUGCUACUAUCAGUGGUGACAGUA